RNAcentral lists this ribosomal RNA (274 nucleotides) under uncultured bacterium. Its description in RNAcentral is "partial 16S ribosomal RNA". It matches the Rfam family "Bacterial small subunit ribosomal RNA", at positions 523 to 796 of the family's 1533-position model. The record is from RNAcentral.
AUACGAAAGGUGCAAGCGUUGUUCGGAUUUACUGGGCGUAAAGAGAGUGUAGGUUGUUUAUUGAGUCGGAUGUGAAAUCCCGGGGCUCAACCUCGGAACUGCAUUCGAUACUGAUAGGCCAGAGUUUGGGAGGGGUAAGCGGAAUUCCGUGUGUAGCAGUGAAAUGCGUAGAUAUACGGAGGAACACCUGAGGCGAAGGCGGCUUACUGGACCAAUACUGACACUGAGACUCGAAAGCGUGGGUAGCAAACAGGAUUAGAAACCCCAGUAGUCC